RNAcentral lists this ribosomal RNA (301 nucleotides) under uncultured bacterium. Its description in RNAcentral is "partial 16S ribosomal RNA". It matches the Rfam family "Bacterial small subunit ribosomal RNA", at positions 509 to 808 of the family's 1533-position model. The record is from RNAcentral.
CAGCAGCCGCGGGAAUACGGAGGGGGCUAGCGUUGUUCGGAAUUACUGGGCGUAAAGCGCACGUAGGCGGCUAUGUAAGUUAGAGGUGAAAGCCUGGAGCUCAACUCCAGAAUUGCCUUUAAGACUGCGUGGCAGCAGGUGAGAGAGGUGAGUGGAAUUCCGAGUGUAGAGGUGAAAUUCGUAGAUAUUCGGAAGAACACCAGUGGCGAAGGCGGCUCACUGGCUCAUACUGGACGCUGAGGUGCGAAAGCGUGGGGAGCAAACAGGAUUAGAUACCCCCGUAGUCCCUGUCUCUUAUACA